GCCGGAAUAGCUCAGUUGGUAGAGCAGGGGACUGAAAAUCCUCGUGUCACCAGUUCA
This 57-nucleotide transfer RNA is filed under the name Frullania junghuhniana. Its description in RNAcentral is "partial tRNA-Phe". It matches the Rfam family "tRNA", at positions 1 to 55 of the family's 71-position model. From Rfam's summary of the family: Transfer RNA (tRNA) molecules are approximately 80 nucleotides in length. Their secondary structure includes four short double-helical elements and three loops (D, anti-codon, and T loops). Lineage: Eukaryota; Viridiplantae; Streptophyta; Jungermanniopsida; Porellales; Frullaniaceae. The record is from RNAcentral.